CUCGUAGGCGGUUCGUCGCGUCCGGUGUGAAAGUCCAUCGCUUAACGGUGGAUCCGCGCCGGGUACGGGCGGGCUUGAGUGCGGUAGGGGAGACUGGAAUUCCCGGUGUAACGGUGGAAUGUGUAGAUAUCGGGAAGAACACCAAUGGCGAAGGCAGGUCUCCGGGCCGUUACUGACGCUGAGGAGCGAAAGCGUGGGGAGCGAACA
Molecule: ribosomal RNA, 207 nt
Filed under: uncultured bacterium
Lineage: Bacteria
Description: partial 16S ribosomal RNA
Rfam family: Bacterial small subunit ribosomal RNA
Source: RNAcentral